UUAGCUAAAGUUCCCCUUUCAAUCUCUUUAAAAUCACAUUUUUAAUAUUGAUACUGUUUCACUUUCCCUGGGGUCUCAGCAUACCUCUACUGCCCACAUCAGGUGAAAUCAAGGCGACACGAAUCUGUCCUGAGUCUACCUCGCUGUUGGGCGUUGAUGCCAGAGAGCUCAGACAUGACUGUACUUGGAGUGUCUACAACAGCUAAUGGCACAGCCUUCAGUAUGUACCUGGCUAUAUGGACCGUUUCUGGGAGAGAUAUCUCAUACAACAUCUGAUUUUAAUGAGGCAGUUUCUCCUUUCCCUUUCCCGGUACAAGUGAGCUUGUGUAAUCACCCUGUCUGUGUCACCCUACAUUUCACUGGCUUAGAAUAUAUCAACCUCUCGUUCCUCCUGUUGAAUUUUAUUGGUAGAAAAGCGCACUGACCAGCUCAGGGAGGUUAAGUCAUUCCAGGAAAUACUCUGUGAAUGUUGUCAAUACUUGAAUAAGAAAACUCAGCUACCAUGUCUACACUACUAUACUUGGGGGUUUGUAGAUAAAUAGUGAUGUAUUGGAAUGAUGUGCUUGUGUGAAAGUGGCAACACAAAAUAUAGUGGCAUUUUAAUGACGGUUGUUGUAAGAACGUACAGGUUAUUAUGGCUGAUAUUGCUUAAGACGGCCACAAUGCUGAUCACGUGAUACUGUUGUUAGUGUUGUUCUGUUGUUCCGUUCCGUGUCUGUGAUUGGCAGGAAGAGAUGUGUUAAGUGCUAUGUUGUAUUUGCAAGUGUACACUGUGUGCAAUAAAGAUGUAUCCAUUUUU
Haliotis rubra (blacklip abalone) is the source of this 799-nucleotide long non-coding RNA. RefSeq lists it as uncharacterized. Lineage: Eukaryota; Metazoa; Mollusca; Gastropoda; Lepetellida; Haliotidae. The record is from RefSeq and is a predicted model, not a curated record. The transcript has 3 exons.